Molecule: long non-coding RNA, 602 nt
Filed under: Elaeis guineensis (African oil palm)
Lineage: Eukaryota; Viridiplantae; Streptophyta; Magnoliopsida; Arecales; Arecaceae
Description: long non-coding RNA (EGUI_LNC064931)
Source: RNAcentral
GGCAUGGAGGUGGAAGAAAGGAAGAAGGAAGGUGGCAUUAAAAAUAAGUUGGGCACCUUAAAGAAGCUGUCCCACAUAUCUCACACUAAACCUCUUCACAUCUACACUAUUUUUGUCACACAAAACCAAAUCCCCCUGCCCAACCACUUCCUAACACCCUAAUAGAUCUAAUCUCAUUUGAUCUUAAACAUUCAAAUCAAAAGAAAGAGAUAAGAUGCAUUGAGAAAAGGUUGUGCAGCAAGAAAGAAAAACUCUUUUGAUAUUAGCGCAUGCCUUCCUUUUUUCUUGAUUUUUGUCAACAAAAAUCAAUUCCCAUGCCCCCUUUUAAUCAGAUUAGAAUCUCUUUUAGAUAAGACAUCUAUUCAAAUCAAAUUUGGAUAGAUGUCUUAAUGUCAAGGAGUCCCAGAAAGAUGGGGCGCCAACUAUUGGCACCCCUCCAUCCUUCACGCAUGCAAAAAUAAAAAGGGGACGUAUUUCCACAUGCGCCCUUCUCUUUUCUAUGUGAUAUCUAGAGAGAGAGUCUUAGAGAAUCUAGACUGUAUGAGUCAUAGUUCAUCUGAUUCAAAUUGGAUCUUAAUUGGAUUCAAACUGAGUCUGAAUCG